RNAcentral lists this ribosomal RNA (512 nucleotides) under uncultured bacterium. RNAcentral's name for it is "partial 16S ribosomal RNA". It matches the Rfam family "Bacterial small subunit ribosomal RNA", at positions 28 to 523 of the family's 1533-position model. The record is from RNAcentral.
GACGAACGCUGGCGGCGUGCCUAAUACAUGCAAGUCGAGCGAAUCAAUAGGAGCUUGCUCCUGUUGGUUAGCGGCGGACGGGUGAGUAACACGUGGGCAACCUGCCUGUAAGACUGGGAUAACACCGGGAAACCGGUGCUAAUACCGGAUAAUCCUUUUCCUCUCAUGAGGAAAAGCUGAAAGUCGGUUUCGGCUGACACUUACAGAUGCGCCCGCGGCGCAUUAGCUAGUUGGUGAGGUAAUGGCUCACCAAGGCGACGAUGCGUAGCCGACCUGAGAGGGUGAUCGGCCACACUGGGACUGAGACACGGCCCAGACUCCUACGGGAGGCAGCAGUAGGGAAUCUUCCACAAUGGACGAAAGUCUGAUGGAGCAACGCCGCGUGAGCGAUGAAGGCCUUCGGGUCGUAAAGCUCUGUUGUUAGGGAAGAACAAGUACCGGAGUAACUGCCGGUACCUUGACGGUACCUAACCAGAAAGCCACGGCUAACUACGUGCCAGCCGCCGCAGAAA